RNAcentral lists this non-coding RNA (176 nucleotides) under bovine gut metagenome. RNAcentral's name for it is "6S / SsrS RNA". It matches the Rfam family "6S / SsrS RNA". From Rfam's summary of the family: E. coli 6S RNA was the first non coding RNA to be sequenced, but its function was unknown until recently. The record is from RNAcentral.
UUUCCUGGGGUGUUCGACAUCUCCGUCAUUUUUGAACCUACAAAACGAUAAAAGGGAUUCCAAUAUUUGUAUAUGGCUGUCAGGCCUCCUUAGCAGUGGAAGGCAAAAGUAUACGUGAGGUCACCCACCUGGCUUCUGGCUGGGAGUCAAAAAGCGGAAACGGCACUCCGGGAUUU